CAAAGGUUGAUUCCGGUGGCGGAUGGGCAUGCGUCGCAUUAGUUAGUUGGCGGUGUAACGGACCACCAAGACGACGAUGCGUAGGGGUUCUGAGAGGAAGGUCCCCCACACUGGUACUGAGACACGGACCAGACUCCUACGGGAGGCAGCAGUGAGGAAUAUUGGUCAAUGGGCGGGAGCCUGAACCAGCCAAGUCGCGUGAGGGAUGACGGCCCUAUGGGUUGUAAACCUCUUUUGCCGGGGAGCAAAGUGCCGCACGUGUGCGGUUUGGAGAGUACCCGGAGAAAAAGCAUCGGCUAACUCCGUGCCAGCAGCCGCGGUAAUACGGAGGAUGCGAGCGUUAUCCGGAUUUAUUGGGUUUAAAGGGUGCGUAGGCGGACGCUUAAGUCAGCGGUAAAAUUGCGGGGCUCAACCUCGUCGAGCCGUUGAAACUGGGUGCCUUGAGUGGGCGAGAAGUACGCGGAAUGCGUGGUGUAGCGGUGAAAUGCAUAGAUAUCACGCAGAACUCCGAUUGCGAAGGCAGCGUACCGGCGCCCAACUGACGCUGAAGCACGAAGGCGUGGGUAUCGAACAGGAUUAGAUACCCUGGUAGUCCACGCAGUAAACGAUGAAUGCUAGUUGUCCGGGGCGAUUGAGUUCUG
This 641-nucleotide ribosomal RNA is filed under the name uncultured bacterium. RNAcentral describes it as "bacterial SSU rRNA". It matches the Rfam family "Bacterial small subunit ribosomal RNA", at positions 202 to 841 of the family's 1533-position model. The record is from RNAcentral.